AGUGAACGCUGGCGGUAGGCCUAACACAUGCAAGUCGAACGGCAGCACAGUAAGAGCUUGCUCUUACGGGUGGCGAGUGGCGGACAGGUGAGGAAUACAUCGGAAUCUACUUUUUCGAGGGGGAUAACGUAGGGAAACUUACGCUAAUACCGCAUACGACCUACGGGUGAAAGCAGGGGAUCUUCGGACCUUGCGCGAUUGAAUGAGCCGAUGUCGGAUUAGCUAGUUGGCGGGGUAAAGGCCCACCAAGGCGACGAUCCGUAGCUGGUCUGAGAGGAUGAUCAGCCACACUGGAACUGAGACACGGUCCAGACUCCUACGGGAGGCAGCAGUGGGGAAUAUUGGACAAUGGGCGCAAGCCUGAUCCAGCCAUACCGCGUGGGUGAAGAAGGCCUUCGGGUUGUAAAGCCCUUUUGUUGGGAAAGAAAAGCAGCAGGUUAAUACCCCGCUGUUCUGACGGUACCCAAAGAAUAAGCACCGGCUAACUUCGUG
This 492-nucleotide ribosomal RNA is filed under the name uncultured bacterium. RNAcentral's name for it is "partial 16S ribosomal RNA". It matches the Rfam family "Bacterial small subunit ribosomal RNA", at positions 29 to 507 of the family's 1533-position model. The record is from RNAcentral.